RNAcentral lists this long non-coding RNA (5243 nucleotides) under Mustela putorius furo (domestic ferret). RNAcentral's name for it is "lncRNA (ENSMPUG00000024656.1)". Lineage: Eukaryota; Metazoa; Chordata; Mammalia; Carnivora; Mustelidae. The record is from RNAcentral.
AUGAACUGCGAGAGUUUGCCGCUAGAGGACACAGCGCCUUGCAACUCCUUUGCCAGAGCGGACUGGAAGCUCGCACUUUCAGAAAAUGCUGCUCUCUUGAGAGAGGGACCGGUCUGCGCCUCUCCUCUACCCCAGGGGCAAACCGCAACCCUAGACUGCGCCCGCGGAUCGCGCUCAGGAUGCGCAGGUGCAGAAAGCAUCAGACCCCGAACCGAGGCAAAGAAGCAGAAAGGUCAAGAGAACAAAUUUGCGAAGCAGCAGCCGAGUUUGGACGUUGGGAGAGCUGGCGUUGGAACUGGGCCGGCGGCUGCUUGGGAAUGGCUGUCCAGGAGGUGUGUGUGUAGGGAGGCAGGUGAUCUGUAGAGAAAGAGGUGCUUUGUGCAGCCUCCAAGAGAACCAGGGGGCCUGGCUUCCUGGGUGGGUGGGGUGGCCUGAGCGUCAAGCCCGGGCUUGGCGCGCUGUGAUGGGGUGAACUGGUGGGUUGCCACCCCUUCCAGGUACCUAUGUGCAGAGACGUUGGCAUCUCGGUCACCACAGCAGUUAAGGUAUAGCAAUCGAGGGGCUAAUUGACCAGCAUUAAGAGACCUAGUCCAGUAGGUCUUCACUCAAGAUAAGGCGGAGAGUAAGAUGCAGGAUAACCGAGGCUGGACGUUCACCCAGCACUUCUGGGAGCUAGGUACUGCCACACAGUAUCCUUAAACUCAGCAGCAAUAUUUGCAGUGGGAUUAUUUGCUCCCAGUUUACAAAUGUACAAAAUUGGAUGGGAGAUGGCCUCUCGACCAAUAAACUGGAAAACUGGGGACAAAGACCCAUGCUAGUCUUCCACCUUCAAUACACCACAUUUGGCAUGCAAUAUAAGGCCUUUAAACAGAAAAAGUAUAAAUAUGACUUCUUCCCACUCUCCCUUUUUUCGGUUUCUCAGCUCAGUUGAGGCGAAAGAUAACUGAAGAGCCACUCUGAAAUGCCCCCCUCUUUUCCUGGUGGUCCCCGCCUCCCGCCAGCCGGCUGGGGAAAGCCCUCGGGACCUCCCAGCUCCCUCCCAGCUCUCGGCGGAGGUGUGAGCGAUGUGUUGAUUAUUCAUAUUUUUGCCGAGCAUACAACUCCGCCGCGGCGGGCGCCGCCACAUUUCACACGUACACUUCACGUACACACAUGUACACGCGCUCACUCCGGCCCCGUCGCUCCGCACUCUGUGCGCAGGGGAUCGCAGCCCCCCAGCAGGCACCACCCUCCUCGGAUAGUGGAGGAGUGACAAAAGGCUCCCACUCAUCCUCCCCAGGUCCCCUUCUUCCUCCUGGCCCCCAAGAAACACACUCUUGGCUUCCAGAUCCAACUUCCUUCUCCAUAAGACACUUGUCUUCCCAACUCCCCCCUCCAGAGUUGGGAGUGGAGGAGUGCGGUAACAACUACAAAUACGGCACCAGCUAGAAUUUCCAUUUGGCACUAAGAUCUCUUCCUCCAACACACAAACAUCACUGUCACCUCCGCCCGCAUCAUACCCUUCAGGUGGCAAGAGAGAAAAAUCGAGAAAAAAAGAGCACUUGGGCGAAACGCAUGCUUUCAAGUUGUCUUCAAAAGCGUAAACAGGACUUUAACUGUGGAAUCUCCUCCAAUGCGACCCAAGGCCCAGGAACUCCGUCUCUGUCCGAUGGGGACCCCCUACACCCCCUCACCUCCAGGAACUAGACACUCAUUUGGGGGCUGGUGGGUCCAGGACGUGCAGGACGUGGCGCUGGCUGUGAAACCUCAGAACCCGCUGGGAACACAGAGCUAGUUCGCCGGGCUGAGCAGCUCCGUCCCACCCUUCAAGGGGCGGCUUACUUCCAUUUAUUCUGGUUUCCCGAAGGAGAGCCGAAGGGGGUCACAGGCUUGGCGGUCUCACGCGUGGGAGCGGUCCCAGCGGCAGGCUGCAAUUCGAGCGGGGUUUUGAGCAAUGCCGGGCGCUCCGUGUAGGGGGCGCUGGACUAAAGGCCACGAAGCCCUGGUAACUCCGCACUUCGGCUCUGACCCAGGACAAGCUGGGGCGCUCCAAUGGUCCCUACAGGGCCGGCUACGUGACCAAGGAGAAACUCUUCCAGCUUUGGUGUCGGCAGACCCGGGUUAGAGCCGUGCAUUUACCGGCGAGGUCUUGGGGAUUUGAUCUGUCUCUCUGAGCCUCCGUUUCCAAACCAGUGAAAUGGGAGUGUUAUUCCUCUGAUUCCCAGUUUCCUUAUGGAUAAAAUGGGGGAUAUUUAGGCCUCCAGAGCUACACUUGCUUUAGGGGUAAGAAAGUGGUUUAGAUGAGAGUAUCCGGCCCGUAGUAAGUGUUCAAGAAACUCUCGUUUGCCUUCAACGUCUGCAUCUGUAAAAUGAGCGUGAUGGUGUUUCUUGUACCUCCCUGGGUCUCGUGAGUCUCCUGUGAGGGUGGUUUUUCUCUCUGCCGGGCCUGCGGGCUUCUUGAGACCAGAAUUCGGACUCACUUGUCUUUACAGCUCUUUGGCCUGGCACGGGGCUGGCUCCCGCCGUGGGCGCCGCGUCAUUGGGUUUAGCGUGGAAUUAGAUCUAAGAAAGUGCUUUGGAGUCUGGUGCUCGCAGGUGUCAGAGGGCACGGACGGCAGUCAACUGGCCGGGCUUCCCGCGGAGGGAAUGCGACUCCCUAGGAGUUCGCUUUUGGGGGCUCUGCGCUGCCUUUUCGCGCCGCAGUUGACAGGUCGCAAGCCUGUCGCAAGGAGCCGAGUGUGGUUAGCUGUGGGGACCGCAGCAGACCGGCAGGCGUCAGGGAUCGCGGGAAUCGCCGGGGAGCUGAAGAAGAUCACAAAGAGCUCUGGAAAGGUCUUCCGGCUAGUGUGACAGACACCAGUUGACCGGUGUUCAGGGAGAGCCAGGAGCCUCUCUUCCGGCUCAGCACCCUCCGCGGGAGACGCGGCACCCCUGGAGCGCGGGGUCACCCUCUCCGCGGAGCUGAGCUCCUGAGCAGCGCUUCCCGGAGACGUCGGUGAAGGAAGCUGGGGGUCAGGGAAGCAAGGAGGCGGAAGAAGCCGGAGGGAGCAAGCCUGGAGUUCGCAGAAAAGGGGGGAAGAGGACAGAAGGAGGAGUGGGUCCCAAGAUUUUGUUUUCAGCAGGACUGGAGCCUGCUAGAAUCCCCCUUUUAAACUGCGCCUUUUACGCAAAGGCAGUGCAUGUGUAUUGCAGGGAAAAAAUAUAUAUGAAAACAAGAACAACCACGACAGAAUAAAUUCAUAACCAUCCCUAACCGCAUCAACAUCAGCUCUUGCUAAUAUUUCAGUGGGUUUCCUGCCAGUCUUUCUCCUAUGCAUAUCUUCAUAUUCUGAUUUGUAAUCUUUUGACUCACUUAUAACAUAUAUUUCCAUAUCAUUAAAUAUUUCCCUACGGUAACACUUAAUAUUGGACGUAGUAUUUCAUUAUCUGGAGAAGUCAUACCAUAAAUUGUUUAAUUGGUUUGCUGUUGUUGAAGUUAAAUUGUUUCUAAUCCUUCACCAUUAUAAGCAAUACUGUGAUGAACAUCUCUGUGGCUAUAGCUUUUCACAUAACUGUAAUUCUUUCCUUAAGAUAAAGUCCUUAAUGUAAAACUGCAAAUUCAAGACUAUGCCUGUUUUGAAGCCUAUAUACAGAUCAGCAGAUUGUCCUCUUAAGAGAUUAAAUUUACACUCUCUUAUGCCCCCAGUCCAACCUUCCUUAAUCCUUAAAUUACUUUCUUAUUUAAAACUCUGCCGAUAUUAUAUGUCUUUUGGUAUUUUUAUUUGCAUUUUAUCUCUCUUUCAUGAAUUUCCACUCGGGGAAACUAUUUUUUAUCCAUUUGUGGUCAUCAUACAUCUUUGGGGAGAUGCAAAUUCUUAUGUUAAUAAAGAUAUUGCAUUUUAAUGUAUCACAUAUAUUACAAAUAUUUCCCCAGUCUUUGUUUGCCUUUAAUUGUAUUUAUGGAAUUUUUUGGUGGUGGCUAUAGUUGUGUAUUUCCCUUAGAAUGUUUUCAUCUACAAAUAACAAAUUCAGUGGCCAACAGUGACUUGAGCAAUAAAGACACUUAAUUAUCUAAUAUAACAAGAAGUCUGGGGGCAGAUGGCCCCAGGUUAGGUGUAAUGCUCACUAGUGCCAUAAACUACCCCAUUUCCUUAGCUCUUCACCCCAUCAUCCUCUGCAUAAUGUUUUUAAUCUCAUGUUCACUAUCUCAUGGUGUUAGUAUAGUUGAUACAGAAGCAGACAUCAUAGCACAUAUUCAAGGCAGGAAGCAAGAAGAACAAGAGAUACCAGAAAAUUCUGUACCUUUGUGUAGUAAAGUAAAAGCUUUUCCAGAUACAGUCCUAUGUCACCUUGGCUAUAACUAAAUCACGUAUUGUAUCCAUAGUCAGAUGGGUAGCUGAGAAAGCAAGCACCCACUUUUCCACAGUCUUUCUGAUAGGCCUCAGAGAUGGGAGUUAGGAAUGGUCCUUGUAUUAGACAAACAAACCCACGAGAAAAAAAAAAAGGUGUCUUUAAUUGUAUGUGAUUUUAUCUGUUCAUCUUUCCCUUUAUAAUAUUUUCCUUUUGAGUUAUUCUCAGGUAAUCUUUCCCCAUUCUAAAAUAAUUUUAAUAUUGACCUCUAUUUUUUUAUGAUCUCUUUUUUUAAUUAAAAUUUUUUCCCUUAAUAACCAAAUUUGUUUCUGUGGUCUUGGUUCCACUUUCAUCAGUAUGCACCAACAUUUUGAAAGACUAAUUUAAAUAGAUUAGUUAUAAUGCAUCUAAAUAUUUAAUUUAUUCUGUCUUUCAUUCAAAAUGUAUUUGAUGUUUAUAUAUCAACUCUAUGCCAUCAACUCUAUUGUGGUUUAUGUUAUGAAAUAGAAGUCAAACUUCUGUCACCAAAUUGUUAUUUGUACUAAUAGCACUUAUUAAAUAAUCCACAAUUUCCCCCUAAAUGUGAAUUGUCACUAUAUAUAUAAAAUAAAUAUUGAGAUUUUUAAAUUCGAAUUGGAAAUUUGGGAUAUAUUUAGAAACUAGAAAAACCAUGUACUAUCCAUUUUCUUUUAUGCCCUACAGUAAAACUUUAUAGUAUUCUUCAUAUGGUUCUAGCAAAUUUUUAUUUAAAUUAUUGCUAGGUAGUUUGUGAAUAUAUUUUUUUCAAUUAUAGUUACUAACUGGUUAUUGCUGAAAAAAGGGAAAUUGUUUAUGAUGCAAUCAGUCAUCUUAUUUAUCUCUUAUUAGUUGUUGUAGUUUAACUGAUUCAGUUAGACUUCCCAAAUAAACAAUUAUAUUACCUACUUAUUGAUAUU